CCCUUAGAUGUUCUGGGCCGCACGCGCGCUACACUGAUGCGUUCAACAAGUUUCCUUGGCCGAGAGGCCUGGGCAAUCUUCUUAAUAUGUAUCGUGAUAGGGAUAGAUUAUUGCAAUUAUUAAUCUUGAACGAGGAAUUCCUAGUAAACGCGGAUCAUCAAUCUGCAUUGAUUACGUCCCUGCCCUUUGUACACACCGCCCGUCGCACCUACCGAUUGGAUGUUCCGGUGAAGCCUCGGGAUGAGGACUGGUGCCUUUAUUGGCAUGAGUUGUUCAGAACUUGUCUAAACCUUAUCAUCUAGAGGAAGGUGAAGUCGUAACA
RNAcentral lists this ribosomal RNA (322 nucleotides) under uncultured eukaryote. RNAcentral's name for it is "partial 18S ribosomal RNA". It matches the Rfam family "Eukaryotic small subunit ribosomal RNA", at positions 1470 to 1796 of the family's 1831-position model. The record is from RNAcentral.